RNAcentral lists this ribosomal RNA (393 nucleotides) under Cryptocercus zagunaoensis. RNAcentral describes it as "partial 12S ribosomal RNA". Lineage: Eukaryota; Metazoa; Arthropoda; Insecta; Blattodea; Cryptocercidae. The record is from RNAcentral.
UAUUAUUUUUGAUGUUAAUUAUUUAACCUGAGUAGUAAUAGAUAUGUUCUUGAAACUUAAAGAAUUUGGCAGUAUUUUAUUCUAUUUAGAGGAACCUGUUCUUUUAUCGAUAAUCCUCGUUGGACCUUACUUAAUUUAUUGAUUUGUAUACCGCCGUUGUAUUGAGGGUCUUUAUAGUGUUUUUAAUUUUCUUAAUUUUAUUUAAAAUUAUUUCAGGUCAAGGUGCAAUUUAUGGUUAAGUAGAAAUGGGUUACGUUUAUAUUUAUUUUUGGAUUAUUAAAUGAAAUUUUAAUAUGAAAUUGGAUUUAAAUGUAAUUAUUAUUUUAGAUUGUAUUAAUGAUUUAGUUUCUAGAGUGUGUACACAUCGCCCGUCACUCUCGUUAUUUAUUCGAG